AUGCAAGUCGAACGCAGUAGCAAUACUGAGUGGCAGACGGGUGAGUAACAUGUGGGAAUCUGCCUUGUGGUUCAGGACAACAUUGGGAAACCGAUGCUAAUACUGGAUAAGCCCUUACGGGGAAAGUUUUAAUGCCAUAAGAUGAGCCCGCAUUUGAUUAGUUAGUUGGUGAGGUAAUGGCGCACCAAGACAAUGAUCAAUAGCUGAUCUGAGAGGAUGAUCAGCCACACUGGGACUGAGACACGGCCCAGACUCCUACGGGAGGCAGCAGUGGGGAAUCUUGCACAAUGGAGGAAACUCUGAUGCAGCGAUGCCGCGUGAGUGAAGAAGGCCUUUGGGUUGUAAAGCUCUUUUGUAGGGGAAGAUAAUGACUGUACCCUAAGAAUAAGGUCCGGCUAACUUCGUGCCAGCAGCCGCGGUAAUACGAAGGGACCUAGCGUAGUUCGGAAUUACUGGGCGUAAAGCGCGCGUAGGCCGUUGAGUUAGUUAAUUGUGAAAUCCCAAAGCUUAACUUUGGAACUGCAAUUAAAACUGCUCGACUAGAGUUUGAUAGAGGAAAGCGGAAUACAUAGUGUAGAGGUGAAAUUCGUAGAUAUUAUGUAGAACACCAGUUGCGAAGGCGGCUUUCUGGAUCAACACUGACGCUGAGGCGCGAAAGUAUGGGUAGCAAAGAGGAUUAGAUACCCUCGUAGUCCAUACCAUAAACGAUGAUUGCUAGAUGUU
This 723-nucleotide ribosomal RNA is filed under the name uncultured Alphaproteobacteria bacterium. RNAcentral describes it as "bacterial SSU rRNA". It matches the Rfam family "Bacterial small subunit ribosomal RNA", at positions 55 to 824 of the family's 1533-position model. Lineage: Bacteria; Pseudomonadati; Pseudomonadota; Alphaproteobacteria. The record is from RNAcentral.